Molecule: ribosomal RNA, 253 nt
Filed under: uncultured bacterium
Lineage: Bacteria
Description: partial 16S ribosomal RNA
Rfam family: Bacterial small subunit ribosomal RNA
Source: RNAcentral
UACGGAGUGUGCAAGCGUUACUCGGAAUCACUGGGCAUAAAGCGCGCGUAGGCGGGUAUUCAAGUCGGUUGUGAAAUCCCCCAGCUCAACUGGGGAACUGCAUCCGAUACUGUCUGUCUUGAGGACGAGAGGGGAGAGUGGAACUUCUGGUGGAGCGGUGAAAUGCGCAGAUAUCAGGAGGAACACCGGUGGCGAAGGCGGGUCUCUGGGCCGAUACUGACGCUGAGGAGCGAAAGCGUGGGGAGCGAACAGG